CCUACGGGAGGCAGCAGUGGGGAAUAUUGCACAAUGGGGGAAACCCUGAUGCAGCGACGCCGCGUGAGUGAAGAAGUAAUUCGGUAUGUAAAGCUCUAGCAGCAGGGAAGAAAAUGACGGUACCUGAGGAAGAAGCCCCGGCGAACGACGUGCCAGCAGCCGCGGGAAGACGUAGGGGGCAAGCGUUAUCCGGAUUUACUGGGUGUAAAGGGAGCGUAGACGGCAGGGCAAGUCUGGAGUGAAAGGCGGGGGCGCCACCCCCGGACUGCUCUGGAAACUUUACGGCGGGAGUGCAGGAGAGGUCAGUGGCAUUCCUAUUGUAGCGGUGAAAUGCGUCGAUAUUAGGAGGCACCCCAGUUGCGAAGGCGGCUUACUGGACUGUACCUGACGUUGCGGCUCGAAAGCGUGGGGAGCAAACAGGCUUAGAUCCCCGAGUCGUC
This 440-nucleotide ribosomal RNA is filed under the name uncultured bacterium. RNAcentral's name for it is "partial 16S ribosomal RNA". It matches the Rfam family "Bacterial small subunit ribosomal RNA", at positions 338 to 795 of the family's 1533-position model. The record is from RNAcentral.